RNAcentral lists this ribosomal RNA (382 nucleotides) under uncultured bacterium. Its description in RNAcentral is "bacterial SSU rRNA". It matches the Rfam family "Bacterial small subunit ribosomal RNA", at positions 30 to 410 of the family's 1533-position model. The record is from RNAcentral.
AUUGAACGCUGGCGGCAUGCCUUACACAUGCAAGUCGAACGGCAGCACGGGAGCAAUCCUGGUGGCGAGUGGCGAACGGGUGAGUAAUAUAUCGGAACGUGCCCAGUCGUGGGGGAUAACGUAGCGAAAGCUACGCUAAUACCGCAUACGAUCUAUGGAUGAAAGCGGGGGAUCGCAAGACCUCGCGCGAUUGGAGCGGCCGAUAUCAGAUUAGGUAGUUGGUGAGGUAAAGGCUCGCCAAGCCGACGAUCUGUAGCUGGUCUGAGAGGACGACCAGCCACACUGGGACUGAGACACGGCCCAGACUCCUACGGGAGGCAGCAGUGGGGAAUUUUUGGGACAAUGGGCGCAAGCCUGAUCCAGCAAUGCCGCGUGCAGGAUG